CUCGUUCUUCUCUUGUCUGCCACCAUGAAAAACAUGCCGUUUGCCUUCCUCCAUGAUUCUGAGGCCACCCCAGUCACAUGGCACUGUGAGUCCAUUAAACCUCUUUUUCUUUAUAAAUUACCAAGUCUCAAGUAUGUUUUUAUCAGCAGCAUGAGAAUAGACUAAUUUAGUAAAUUGGUACCAGUAGAAUGGGGUGCCGCUGUAAAGAUUCCCAAAAAUGUGGAAGUGACUUGGAAGUGGGUAACAGGAAGAGGUUGGAACAGUUUGGAGACAGGAACAGACGAAGAUGGAACAGAUGGAACAGAUGAAGACAGGAAAAUGUAGGAAAGUUUGGAACUUCCUAGAGACUUGUUGAAUGGUUUUGACCAAAAUGCUGAUAAUGAUAUGGACAAUGAAAUCCAGGCUGAGGUAGUCUCAGAUGGAGAUGAGGAACUUGUUGGAAAGUGGAGUAAAGAUGAUCCUUGCUAUGUUUUAGAAAAGAGACUGGUGGCAUUUUGCCCCUGCCCUAGAGAUAUGUGGAAUUUUGAACUUGAGAGAGAUGAUUUAGGGUAUCUUUGGAGGAAAUUUCUAAACAGCAAAGUAUUCGAGAGGUGACCUGAGAGGUGCUGUUAAAAGCAUUCAGUUUUGAAAGGGAAACAGAGCAUAAAAGUUUGGAAAAUUUGUAGCCUGAUAAUGCAAUAGAAAACAGAAACCCAUUUUCGGAGGAGAAAUUCAAGCAGGUGCAGAAAUUUGCAUAAGUAACAAGUCAAAUAUUAAUCUCUGAAUCAAUGGAGAAAAUGUCUCCAGGGUGUGUCAGAGACCUUGGCAGCAGCCACUCUUAUCAUAGGCCCAGAGGCAUAGGAAGGAAAAAUGGUUUCUUGGGCCAGGUCCAGGGUCCCCCUGCUCAGUGCAGCCUAGGGACUUGGUGCCCUGUGUCCCAGCCACUCUAGCCAUGACUAAAAGGGGCCAAGGUACAGCUCGGGCUGUUGCACCAGAGGGUUCAAGCCCCAAGCUUUGGAAGCUUACACAUGGUUUUGAGUCUGUGGGUACACAGAAGUCAAGAAUUGAGGUUUGGGAACCACUGCCUGGAUUCCAAAAGAUGUAUGUAAAUUCAUGGGUGUUGAGGCAGAAGUUUGCUCUAGGGUUGGGGCCCUCAUGGAGAACCUCUGCUAGGGCAGUGAGGAAGGGAAAUGUGUGGUUGGAGCCCCACACAGAGUCCCCACUGGAGCAUUGCCUAGUGGAGCUGUGAGAAUAGGGCCACUGUCCUCCAGACUCCAGAGCUGUAGAUCCACUGACAGCUUGCACUUUGUGCCUAGAAAGCUGCAGACACUCAAUGCCAGCCCAUUAAAGCAGCUUGGAGGGAGACUGUACCCUGCAAAGCCACAGGGGCAGAGCUGCCCAAGACCAUGGGAACUCACCUCUUGCAUUAGCAUGUCCUGGAUGUGAGACAUGAAGUCAAAGGAGAUCAUUUUGGAGCUUUAAGAUUUGGCUGCUCCACUCAAUUUCAGACUUGCACGGGGCCUGUAGCCCCUUUGUUUUGGCCAAUUUCUCCUAUUUGGACUGGGUGUAUUUACCCAAUGCCUGUACCCCCAUUGUAUCCAGCAAGUAACUAACUUGCUUUUGAUUUUACAGGCUUAUAGGUGGAAGAAACUUGCCUUGUCUCAGAUGAGACUUUGGACUGUGGACUUUUGAGUUAAUGCUGAAAUGAGUUAAGACUUUGGGGGACUCUUGGAAAGGCAUGAUUGAUUUUGAAAUGUGAGGACAUGAGAUUUGGGAGGGGCCAGGGGUAGAAUGAUAUGGUUUGGCUGUGUCUCCAUCAAAAUCUCAUCUUGUAUUGUAGCUCCCAUAAUUCCCAUGUGUUGUGGGAGGAACCCAGUGGGAGAUAAUUUAAUCAUUGGGGCAGUUUUUCCCAUACUGUUUUUAUGGUAGUGACUAAGUCUCAUGAGAGCUGAUGGUUUUAUAAGGGAAACCCCUUUUCACUUGGCUCUCAUUAUUUUCUUGUCUGAGGCCUCCCCAGCCACAUGGAACUGUGAGUCCAUUAAACCUGAUUUUCUUCAUAAAUUCCCAUCUUGGAUAUGUCUUUAUCAGCAACAUGAGAACAGAUGAAUAAAAAUUCUCAGACUGGGAGAAAAAUAUGCUAAAGUGCUUCAUUCCCAGAAUAAUAUUCUUGUUAUUUUGUCAUAUGGGCAGCCUACCUGCUUACCUCCUGUCCACACAUCCUAAUAUGAUGCCAACCAGUUAGUAUGUCCUCACUUACUUGCUGACAUGGAUUCUUUGCUUGGCCAAAUUUUAGUCACGUCUUCUGAACAUUCUUCUAGGCCCAUCUGUGCACUUCCUUGUAAAAUACUGUUUUAACUAAGUCAGUUUAGCAACAAUCCCCAAUCUCAGUGUCUGAUCACCCUUGGUAGCUGAUCAUAUUACUUAUCCUCCCUUAUCCCCCAGGUGAUUUCUGAUCUUUCUGGUCUGUUUUUAGCAAGAUCCUGUUAGGUUGGUUUAGCCAGAAUUCCCCUUACCCCUGAUGUUUCUGCUUAGUAAUUUUCCAUCCUCUGACUACCUCAUCUGCUUCUUGGCUACAGAUUCUCACUUGCCCCUGCUGUAUUCGGAGUUGAGUUCAAUCUCCCUAGCCUAUUGUUAAGACUUAGUUGUAGUCAUUCCUGUAGCUACUGCAAUGAUCCUAAAUGAAGUCUUUUUUACUGUGCUUUAACAAGUAUCAUUGAAUAUUUUUUUUCUUUAACAUUACACAAAAAGGAAAACAGCCUGUUCAUUUCAUGGAAGGACGUUUUGGAAAAAUAGAUCCAGACCUACAUAGAAAGAAAGAUUUGAGUGCACACUACAUACAUUAGAAGAGAAAAAUAAAGGAAAAUCAGACUGCUAUGAAAACCAAGUUUCCCACUUCAUGCUAAAAAGUGGUAACAUUGCAUGUCAGACUGAAGAAAGACACCUGAGUCUAUGUUGAGUUGUGUUUGGCCCCUUGCAAGGUUGUCAUAAAUGAUUCAUUGUUUUGGCUUAAGGGGCUUUCAGCUGGAUGACAAAGCAUAAGGACAAAAAAUAUGAAAUUUGUCA
RNAcentral lists this long non-coding RNA (3042 nucleotides) under Homo sapiens (human). RNAcentral's name for it is "HSALNT0335292". Lineage: Eukaryota; Metazoa; Chordata; Mammalia; Primates; Hominidae. The record is from RNAcentral.